GGUCCGGUAGCUCAGCUGAAUAGAGCAACUGCCUUCUAAGCAGUAGGUCAUUGGUUUGAAUCCAAUCCGGAUCACAA
RNAcentral lists this transfer RNA (77 nucleotides) under Citrobacter freundii. Its description in RNAcentral is "tRNA-Arg". It matches the Rfam family "tRNA". From Rfam's summary of the family: Transfer RNA (tRNA) molecules are approximately 80 nucleotides in length. Their secondary structure includes four short double-helical elements and three loops (D, anti-codon, and T loops). The record is from RNAcentral. RNAcentral also lists the same sequence under 3 other names. Lineage: Bacteria; Pseudomonadati; Pseudomonadota; Gammaproteobacteria; Enterobacterales; Enterobacteriaceae.